AUAAUAAUAAGGUUUAGUGUGUUAGUGUUGGACCCGUGACCUCCAGCCCCGGGUGUUGUCUGCUGCUCAACACUACCAUCAACACAGGACAAUAUGUCGGCUGUAGGCAGAAAAACUUUAUCUCAGCUGUAUCGCCAAGGAUGGGCAGAAAUCCCAGAGGUGAUGGCUUCAUCUUACCUUCUUUUGGUUGGUGUUGGGUUUAUGGGUGCUGCUUCAUUGAUGUAUGUUAAAAAGAAUGGAGAUAACAAACGUUAUCGUUUUGAGUAUACAGUUUACCGUCCUGAUGAUCCACGCAUUAAAACAAUUAGGGAGUGAUCCAGAAGGCUACUCUUCUGUGAUUGAUGCCUAGAAAGGAAAUGUUAAUAAGUGUAAAUUAUCUUUUUUGAGAAUUAAUUAUUGUAUAUAGAAAACAA
Homarus americanus (American lobster) is the source of this 413-nucleotide long non-coding RNA. RefSeq lists it as uncharacterized. NCBI's taxonomy places the organism in Eukaryota, Metazoa, Arthropoda, Malacostraca, Decapoda, Nephropidae. The record is from RefSeq and is a predicted model, not a curated record. The transcript has 4 exons.